GUCUAUGGCCAUGCCACUCUGAACAAGCCCGAUCUAAUAUGAUCUUGGAAGCUAAGCAGAGUUAGGCCUGGCUAGUACUUGGAUGGGAGACCACCUAAGAAGACCAGGUGCUAUAGGUG
Molecule: ribosomal RNA, 119 nt
Filed under: Pteropus alecto (black flying fox)
Lineage: Eukaryota; Metazoa; Chordata; Mammalia; Chiroptera; Pteropodidae
Source: RNAcentral